RNAcentral lists this small nucleolar RNA (93 nucleotides) under Pachysolen tannophilus NRRL Y-2460. Lineage: Eukaryota; Fungi; Ascomycota; Pichiomycetes; Alaninales; Pachysolenaceae. The record is from RNAcentral.
AAAAUAUGAGGAAACAUUGCACUGGGCACUGAAUAAUUUGAUGAGUGACAAUGCAUUAAAGGCGAGCCUCAGAAACUCGCCGUGACUGAUUUA